RNAcentral lists this ribosomal RNA (373 nucleotides) under uncultured bacterium. RNAcentral's name for it is "partial 16S ribosomal RNA". It matches the Rfam family "Bacterial small subunit ribosomal RNA", at positions 32 to 396 of the family's 1533-position model. The record is from RNAcentral.
AAUCAACGCUGGCGGCGUGCCUCAGACAUGCAAGUCGAACGAUUAAAGCUCUCUUCGGAGAGUGCAUAGAGUGGCGCACGGGUGAGUAACACGUAAGUAAUCUGCCUUUGAGUGGGGAAUAACAGUCGGAAACGAUUGCUAAUACCGCAUAACGCAGCGGCACCGCAAGGUGACAGUUGUUAAAGGAGCAAUCCGCUUAAAGAGGAGCUUGCGGCAGAUUAGCUUGUUGGUAAGGUAACGGCUUACCAAGGCGACGAUCAGUAGCUGGUCUGAGAGGAUGAUCAGCCACAUUGGGACUGAGACACGGCCCAAACUCCUACGGGAGGCAGCAGUGGGAAUAUUGGACAAUGGGCGAAAGCCUGAUCCAGCCAUG